Molecule: unclassified non-coding RNA, 334 nt
Filed under: Hevea brasiliensis (rubber tree)
Lineage: Eukaryota; Viridiplantae; Streptophyta; Magnoliopsida; Malpighiales; Euphorbiaceae
Source: RNAcentral
CUUUUUUCUUCAGCCUGCCGCGGAUGCUGCUUGUUCGGAAUAAGAGACAAACUCGCCAGGUGCCUUUCAAAGUUCAAAUUACGGAGAGCUAAAGCUGUCGGUGCUAUGGCAAUAAUUGACAACUCUUUCAAGUCUUUCUGCCCAUGAAUUCAUUCCUUACUCUUAUGCCUUCUCUUCUCCAAUCUCCCAUUAAUUGGAUAACAAUAUUUAGGGCUGACUAAGGGCCAUUAAAUGAUUGCGGACCAUAUAGAGUUGCUUAGUGCUUAUAAUUUAGAAAUUGAGUAUUGCCAUGUGUCAAACAAUAAAUAGCCAAUCUGGGCUAUGUGUUGAAAAG